CAGGAGUGGAGCCUGCGGCUUAAUUUGACUCAACACGGGAAACCUCACCCGGCCCGGACACGGACAGGAUUGACAGAUUGAUAGCUCUUUCUCGAUUCCGUGGGUGGUGGUGCAUGGCCGUUCUUAGUUGGUGGAGCGAUUUGUCUGGUUAAUUCCGAUAACGAACGAGACUCUGGCAUGCUAACUAGUUACGCGACCCCCGAGCGGUCGGCGUCCCCCAACUUCUUAGAGGGACAAGUGGCGUUCAGCCACCCGAGAUUGAGCAAUAACAGGUCUGUGAUGCCCUUAGAUGUCCGGGGCUGCACGCGCGCUACACUGACUGGCUCAGCGUGUGCCUACCCUACGCCGGCAGGCGCGGGUAACCCGUUGAACCCCAUUCGUGAUGGGGAUCGGGGAUUGCAAUUAUUCCCCAUGAACGAGGAAUUCCCAGUAAGUGCGGGUCAUAAGCUUGCGUUGAUUAAGUCCCUGCCCUUUG
RNAcentral lists this ribosomal RNA (475 nucleotides) under Aeromonas veronii. RNAcentral describes it as "SSU rRNA". It matches the Rfam family "Eukaryotic small subunit ribosomal RNA", at positions 1171 to 1662 of the family's 1831-position model. Lineage: Bacteria; Pseudomonadati; Pseudomonadota; Gammaproteobacteria; Aeromonadales; Aeromonadaceae. The record is from RNAcentral.